GGGGGAUUGGCGCAAUGGUAGCGCGUGGCUCUCCUACACUUGUGUCCCAUUCACCGUCAUGUCGUUGGUUGGAAGGGCAGGUGCCAAGCCAAGGUUGUGGGUUCGAGUCCCAUGUUCCUCG
This is a transfer RNA of Cladophialophora immunda, 121 nucleotides long. It matches the Rfam family "tRNA". Rfam says of the family: Transfer RNA (tRNA) molecules are approximately 80 nucleotides in length. Their secondary structure includes four short double-helical elements and three loops (D, anti-codon, and T loops). The record is from Rfam. NCBI's taxonomy places the organism in Eukaryota, Fungi, Ascomycota, Eurotiomycetes, Chaetothyriales, Herpotrichiellaceae.